CCAAUGUGGGCAUCCAGCAAGAUGGCUCUUGCAUGGCUCUGCCCAAGUGGCAUAUGGGAGCGUAGCUCUGUUAGGGUCGAUAACGUAUGGUCCCGUUCCACAACAUUGGAGAAAAAGUUUUUUCCUCUCUGGCUGUCAUAGCUGCUGAGGGAGGCGUCCUGUAUAUUCCUACAACUUCUCAGUGCUUGCGGUUGCUGAGGAGACAAACCAUGCAGGACACAUCU
This is a small nucleolar RNA of Heteronotia binoei (common prickly gecko), 224 nucleotides long. RefSeq annotates it as small nucleolar RNA SNORA73 family. The transcript has a single exon. The record is from RefSeq and is a predicted model, not a curated record. NCBI's taxonomy places the organism in Eukaryota, Metazoa, Chordata, Lepidosauria, Squamata, Gekkonidae.